AGUGAACGUGUGCUGACUGGCAGCGAGCUGUCUGAGUGGUUGAGUGGUCAUCUCCCUGGUGGUGUAAGGCUUGCCAGCCACUCGCUGUUAAAGCUGAUUGCAAAUCCUACACUCAUCAAUGCUCCGAGGGGCUGAACUAUUCACACACCUGGAAGCUGCCUGACUUUAUGCCUUCCCUGCAACCCAAGGAACUUGAGACUCUACAAAAGCUGCUCUACAAGCUCCCCUGAUCAAUGCAGACAAGUGUAGACGAGGAAUCGAAAUCAGAAAAUGUGAACAAACGCAGAGAAGCAGAGACACAGAAUGCAGAAAUGGAUAGAGAAACUGGCAGAAAAAGAGAAAAAUACAAUUCCAGAAACUAAUUAAAGGACACCAGAUCAGGGACACCUGCACUCUUGCUGUCAGGCCACAUGCUCCUUCUCCUCUCUAUGCAGACACCAAGAAUUUACCAAUAAGCCAAACCCCACAUUACAUCCCCCGUCCUGCAAAUCUAUCCAAUGUAUCUAAUACCA
Molecule: long non-coding RNA, 512 nt
Organism: Carcharodon carcharias (great white shark)
Lineage: Eukaryota; Metazoa; Chordata; Chondrichthyes; Lamniformes; Lamnidae
Exons: 3
Source: RefSeq, a predicted model, not a curated record